UAGUGAUCAAGGCUGUUUCGUCCACUGUCAAUUUCAAUUUUCUUUUUACAAAAUACAGGGCCCAAUUUCAUUAGGCAGUUUGACUUUGAGUGAAAUUUAAUGCAGAAGUAAUCCAGACAGAGACUGUCUCGUCUGAUCUUCAAUAAAGGUGGACAGCCAUCACACUGAGCAGAGAUGUCUCAAUCUAUCAAUGUUGAAGCCUCGAAGAGUUGCCAGUCAUUAAUCUGCUUUGACUACUCAAUCAACGUCAUAAUUACUGAUCAAUCAACGCAGACAGAGCAUCAGAUCUUCAGUCAUGAUGGCUGGCUGUCCAUCGCACUCAGCAGAGGAGUGUCAAUCAAACAACUCGCAGAGUGGCCAGCAAUCUAUCACAGCUCACAUCCAAAGAUCAAUUAAUGCAGACGGAGCAUCAGAUCUUCAAUUAUGAUGGCUGGUUGUCCAUCGCACUCAGCAGAGGAGUGUCAAUCAAACAACUCGCAGAGUGGCCAGGAAACUAUCACAGCUCACAUCCAAAGAUCAAUUAAUGCAGACGGAGCAUCAGAUCUUCAAUUAUGAUGGCUGGUUGUCCAUCGCACUCAGCAGAGGAGUGUCAAUCAAACAACUCGCAGAGUGGCUAGGAAACUAUCACAGCUCACAUCCAAAGAUCAAUUAAUGCAGACGGAGCAUCAGAUCUUCAAUCAUGAUGGCUGGCUGUCCAUCGCACUCGACAGAGAUGUGUAAUCUAUCAAUGUUGAAGCAACGCAGAGUGGCCAGCAUUCUAUGACAGCUCACAUACAAAGAUCAAUCAACGCAGACAGAGCAUAAUACAUCUUCAGUCAUGAUGGCUGGCUGUCCAUCUCACUCAGCAGAGGAGUGUCAAUCAAACAACUCACAGAGUGGCCAGCAAUCUAUCACAGCUCACAUCCAAAGAUCAAUUAACACAGACAGAGCUACAGAUCUUUAAUCACGAUGGCUGGCUGUCCAUCGCACUCAGCAGAGGAAUGUCAAUCUAUCAAUGUCAAAGCGUUGCAGAGUGGCCAGCAAUCUGCUAUAUGAUAUCUCACAUCUAAAGAUCGAGUGAGUCAAGUCUCUGUUGGUCAAACUGAGCAGAGGAAAUGUCUUCAAGCUGUCGUUGUUGAAGCCAUGGAGGACGUCAAGCAAACUGCUUAGACAACUCUGUCAACUACCUGUGUACAGAUCGAGUGAGCCAAGUCUCUGUUGGUCAAACUGAGCAGAGGAAAUGUCUUGAGGCUGUUGUUGUUGAAGCCAUGGAGGACGUCAAGCAAACUGCUUAGACAACUCUGUCAACUACCUGUGUACAGAUCAACUAAUCCAGAAACAUCCCCCACUGAGUGAGAAAGUCCAUAACCCCCAGCCAAUAAAGUCAUCAUAUGGGAGCCCACCCACGGCAGGUGCCAUCCCAGAAGACCCACCAAGACCAUGCUCAAGACCCUCAUGGAGGAUGCAGGACAGAGAGUGUCGAACCAAUCAAUGUCUUGUGCAGUCAAUCUACCUUAUUGCAGAUCAAAAUCCCGUCAGAGAGUGUCAGAUAUCGCAAGGAGUCAGCGUCCAUCACUGGUAGACAUGCACCACCUUGUUGUGUACUUUGUAAUUAUUUGUAUUUUAUAGGAAUAUAGUUAGAAUUAAUUGUGUGGGCAUUCGCUCACACUUUUUGUUGUGUGGUAAAUCGCUCACACUUUGUGUUGUGUGGUGAAUCACUGACAC
Molecule: long non-coding RNA, 1704 nt
Organism: Asterias rubens (European starfish)
Lineage: Eukaryota; Metazoa; Echinodermata; Asteroidea; Forcipulatida; Asteriidae
Exons: 12
Source: RefSeq, a predicted model, not a curated record